AGGUGGCAAGCGUUGUCCGGAAUUACUGGGUGUAAAGGGAGCGUAGGCGGGAAGACAAGUUGGGAGUGAAAUGUAUGGGCUUAACCCAUAAACUGCUUUCAAAACUGUUUUUCUUGAGUGAAGUAGAGGCAGGCGGAAUUCCUAGUGUAGCGGUGAAAUGCGUAAAUAUUAGGAGGAACACCAGUGGCGAAGGCGGCCUGCUGGGCUUUAACUGACGCUGAGGCUCGAAAGCGUGGGUAGCAA
Molecule: ribosomal RNA, 243 nt
Filed under: uncultured bacterium
Lineage: Bacteria
Description: partial 16S ribosomal RNA
Rfam family: Bacterial small subunit ribosomal RNA
Source: RNAcentral